RNAcentral lists this ribosomal RNA (208 nucleotides) under Aspergillus niger. Its description in RNAcentral is "partial 18S ribosomal RNA". It matches the Rfam family "Eukaryotic small subunit ribosomal RNA", at positions 1267 to 1527 of the family's 1831-position model. The record is from RNAcentral. Lineage: Eukaryota; Fungi; Ascomycota; Eurotiomycetes; Eurotiales; Aspergillaceae.
UCUUUCUUGAUCUUUUGAUGGYGGGUGGCCGUCUAGUGGGAGAUUUGUCUGCUUAAUUGCGAUACAACGAGACCUCCCCUUAUAGCCGGUCCGCAUUUGCGGGCCGCUGGCUUCUUAGGGGGACUAUCGGCUCAAGCGAUGGAAGUGCGCGGCAAUAACAGGUCUGUGAUGCCCUUAAUGUUCGGGCCGCACGCGCGCUACACUGACA